This is a long non-coding RNA of Hippocampus comes (tiger tail seahorse), 1101 nucleotides long. RefSeq lists it as uncharacterized. The record is from RefSeq and is a predicted model, not a curated record. Lineage: Eukaryota; Metazoa; Chordata; Actinopteri; Syngnathiformes; Syngnathidae. The transcript is spliced from 2 exons.
GUUCCAUGACCAAGGGAUAUCAGGCCGGCGCAGUCGCUGGAUGCGGCACCCAAGGGAGGGUCACCGGGCGUGCUUCGACCGGCGGCCGCCUGCUCUCGUCGCCAGACACGAGCACUGUGCUGGAGAUGGAGGGGAGGAGCAGUGAGGACAACGGGAGGAAAGCUUCUCUGGUGGCAGGCUGUGGGAAACCCCCAAUGGAAGGCAGUGUGGGGAGGAUGAAGGCCUGUUCUUAGUCCACCUUACCUCAGCUGCCUGUUCGUAUGACCUUCUCCUGCUCCUCCUCCUCCUCCUCGGUCGAUCCACAUGAAUCCGCAAGUAUAAAUUUUUUAUUUGGUUUGCGUUAUUGUGUUAUUGAUUGGCAUUCUAUAUAUAAAUUGUUCCAAAAAUCACUAUGCACUUUCUUUUUUUUAUAUUUCCUUACCAUCAUUCGGACUGAUGUGAGGUCAUCAGCAUUUGAAAGCUGGUGUGACUUUUAGGACACUUUUUAUAACAAACAAAAGAAUAAUUAAAGUCAUCCAUUCUUAAUCAAAAUGUAAAGUGAUUUGCUUUAUUUCAUUUGGAGUCAUCCAAGGGGGGGAAACGUCACUUUUCUUAAGGAAUAGAAACAUCUCAGGACAUAGAGACACUGUUUUUUGUUUUUGUUUUUUUCCUUACAAGACAAUGACAUGGAUGGCUCCAUGUGAGUCACAAGCAGCCGCAACGCCAAAAAGUUACAACAUGCACCAAACGAUAGAACAUUUAUACAGAAACGACAGCAUAGAAAGUCAACAGGUAGAAAUGUUUUUGUUUGUUUGUGCGUUUUGUACAAAACGGACCAAGCUGGGGACCCCAUAAACAACAUUGUAGAAGAGCUUUCCCUAUAAUCUUUUUGUCUAUUUCCCUGGUGUACUUUACAAAGACCGAUGGCUUAGGCAAGGUUGGGGUCAAUUCCACUGAGAGCUUCAAAUAUAAAAAAAUAUAGAGAGAUUUUUUUUUUUUUUUUUGUAAUUUGUUCUAGUUGGUCAUUGGCCUCAUACUCCUAUACUGCUUUUCUUUUAUUGUCUUCCCCUCUAUAAACAUGCCCUGAAUGGACCCCAACCCUGUGAUACAGCGAUAGAGGGG